AUCAAUCACACUGCUGUGGUCACAGACUCUUGGACUAGGCCUCUCAAAUUUUAUAAGACUACUACUCUCUAUUAAGGUUGAUAGAUCCUAUCUUGAUGCACACCCUACCUCUACAGUGGAUCAACUAUCACCAAUAUCCACUACAAAGUCUCAUUGAGAUCCAUGUUUAUGUAUCAGUCAAACUCCAGCAGCCCACUAUGAGUA
Molecule: long non-coding RNA, 204 nt
Filed under: Elaeis guineensis (African oil palm)
Lineage: Eukaryota; Viridiplantae; Streptophyta; Magnoliopsida; Arecales; Arecaceae
Description: long non-coding RNA (EGUI_LNC050650)
Source: RNAcentral